AUGAGCCAUUCGCAGUUUCACUGUACCGGCCGUGCGUACUUAGACAUGCAUGGCUUAAUCUUUGAGACAAGCAUAUGCUACUGGCAGGAUCAACCAGGUAGGCGAGGUAGGCCGCGAGGGCGGCGGACCCGGCGUCCGGGGGCACGAGAGGGAGGGAGGGACGGACCGCGGGCGGAGGAGGGUGCGGGCGGCGCGAACGCCAUCGUCCCCGCCCGUAGCCGGGAGGCGCGGGACCAGGCGGGGUGGGGCGGGGCGGAGGAAGGGCGGAGGGAGAGAGGCGGGCGCGGGAGCGCGGGGAACGAGUCCCACGCGCACACCGCACGCGCCCCAUCACCUCCACCUCCACCACCACCAACCCCACACCCCACCCCCGCCUCUCUCCACAACCGCGUGCGAGUGGAGGGCACAACGCCCGACCCGUUUUGUGCCGGGCAGCCAGGAGGGGGUCGGCGGCCACGCGCGCGGAAGACGCAGUGGGGGGCGGCGAGGGGGCGCGGCGAUACCCACACCCCGCGGGGCGGGGCCCCGGCGUUCGGGCGGCGAGCGGGAGGCGGCCCGGGGUGCCCGACCCGGGGGACAGUCACGCCGUGCGGCCGCAGCGCCCGCGCGCCCGCCCGGUCGAGGUCCGGGUGCCGGCCGAGGCCAGACCCCGGGCCACGCCGGCGGGCGCAGGCGCAGGAGGGGAGGGGGGCCGGUGACCGGCACCGCCCCGACCCACAACGACGGCCAGAAGGCGACGGAAGCCGUCCGGCCGACCCACCGACCCGGAACGAGGGACCGGGACCGGGACCGGAGGUCCCGGCCCGGGCCCCCCCCUCGAACCGGGGGGCGGGCGGCCGGCAGGCCGGAGGUCGACCUUACUUACACACGACGGCUGGCCGGGAGAGACCACCGGGGCGCGCUCGGGCGCACGCACGCGCCGAACGGGACCCGCAACGCGGGGGAAGGACACGCCGCCGCCCCCGGACGUCGACACCCAAGACGCCUCGGGGAGGGGCCCCGGCGGGCCCGGGAAGCGAGGCGCGCACCCGGGGCGCGCGGACGCGGAGCGGGAGAGCGGGUUCGGGAGGAGACGAGACCCCGGGCAAGCCCGAGGCGACCGUGGAAGGCGCGGGGAAGGCGGCGAGCGGGGAGGGGGUGGGCGGCGGGCCACCGCGAGGAUCCGGGGAGAAGCCUCGGGCACAGACGACCGCAGCAGCCGUGGACACACAACGGGGUCUCACCGCCAGCGGCCCGUUUGGGCACACAGGGGCGGUCCCGCGCGGCACACGGAGCGGCCGCCUGGCCUUCGGCGACCCACGCACGCCUCUCGGGGGCCCGCGGCUCCCCCACACCGCCACCGCAGUCGCGGCCAGCGCCCCAUAA
Molecule: long non-coding RNA, 1365 nt
Filed under: Callithrix jacchus (white-tufted-ear marmoset)
Lineage: Eukaryota; Metazoa; Chordata; Mammalia; Primates; Cebidae
Description: lncRNA (ENSCJAG00000076799.1)
Source: RNAcentral